AUUGAACGCUGGCGGCAGGCCUAACACAUGCAAGUCGAGCGAGCGGCGGACGGGUGAGUAAUGUAUGGGAAACUGCCCGAUGGAGGGGGAUAACUACUGGAAACGGUAGCUAAUACCGCAUACUAUCGGAUGUGCCCAGAUGGGAUUAGCUAGUAGGUGGGGUAAAGGCUCACCUAGGCGACGAUCCCUAGCUGGUCUGAGAGGAUGACCAGCCACACUGGAACUGAGACACGGCCCAGACUCCUACGGGAGGCAGCAGUGGGGAAUAUUGCACAAUGGGCGCAAGCCUGAUGCAGCCAUGCCGCGUGUAUGAAGAAGGCCUUCGGGUUGUAAAGCACUUUCAGCGGGGAGGCGUUACUCGCAGAAGAAGCACCGGCUAACUCCGUGCCAGCAGCCGCGGUAAUAC
RNAcentral lists this ribosomal RNA (406 nucleotides) under uncultured bacterium. RNAcentral's name for it is "partial 16S ribosomal RNA". It matches the Rfam family "Bacterial small subunit ribosomal RNA", at positions 30 to 526 of the family's 1533-position model. The record is from RNAcentral.